Molecule: ribosomal RNA, 254 nt
Filed under: uncultured bacterium
Lineage: Bacteria
Description: partial 16S ribosomal RNA
Rfam family: Bacterial small subunit ribosomal RNA
Source: RNAcentral
UACGAAGGGGGCUAGCGUUGCUCGGAAUCACUGGGCGUAAAGCGCACGUAGGCGGAUCUUUAAGUCAGGGGUGAAAUCCUGGAGCUCAACUCCAGAACUGCCUUUGAUACUGGAGAUCUCGAGUCCGGAAGAGGUGAGUGGAACUCCGAGUGUAGAGGUGAAAUUCGUAGAUAUUCGCAAGAACACCAGUGGCGAAGGCGGCUCACUGGCCCGAUACUGACGCUGAGGCACGAAAGCGUGGGGAGCAAACAGGG